GCUAAGCUCUGCAAAAAUGGCGAAUGACUGGAGAAUAAGAGUUUUCCAGUGAGUUUCAUCGGCAAACAGAUCCGUUCAAAUUAACUAUAGUGGUGUUUUUGUGAAGAUUAACAAGCUUAAACUAGUAACUGGUAGUUGAAUUCGAGUGAUUUUCUUACAAGAAGAAGACACAAUUUUCGCAAGCAUCAUGAGUGACAAUGGGUUGAGGUGGAGUUCAAUUGGUGGUUGAACUAAUGGAUUUCUGAAAAGAUUAUGGGAUAAUCAUAGAAUGGUGUUGGUGGUAAGAAGAAGUUGUUACUGCAAUGGACAUGUGCAGUUUCAGAUGGGUUUGUUUGAGAUCAGACUGAAAUUAUGAAGAAGGGGUACGAGUUCAUGGAAAAGAUAGAUGCGGUUGCAAGGUGUAUGUUAGAUUUUGCCAGUAGGAAUUGAUAAAAUUAUAAUCUAAAAGGGUAUGUUAGAUUUUGACUUUUGAUUUUUGGUAAGUUCAAUUUGAUUAUACAGUAGUAUUGAGGUUCAAUUUGAUGCUGGAAAAUGGAGUUUUCAUUUGAAUUCAUGUUUACAGUUCUUGUUAUUUUAUCAAGUUUUGACAGGAAAUUUUAUUUGAAAUCGAUUAUAGCCUUCAUUUUGAUUAUAUGAGAAUACAAACAUUUUUAUUGGUUUCGAUGUGUAAGGUGUUCAAUUUUGAUAGUGGUGGUGCAAAAUUGAGGUUGCUGAGAAUACAAACAUUUUUAUUGGUUUCGAUUUGUAAAGUGUUCAAUUUUGAUAGUGGGGGUGCAACAUUGAGGUUGCUGAGUAGUUUGUAGUGCAAAUAGUUGUUGAAAUGACAAAUUGGAAGAUAACGAUAAGUUUGUUGCAGGAGUUCUUGCUGAUGGCUGAUGCUUGUUCAAAGCCUUGGUACAUGGGGCUUGCUUGAGAAGUGGCCGAGAAGCUCCAGAUAUGAAUCUUGAGGGAGAACUCGUUGAUGACUUAAGAGCUGAAGUGAUGGAUGAGCUGUUAAGGGGGUGGAAUGAUUUUGAUCAAUGGUGAGCUUUUGGGUUUAAGUGACUAAAAAAUUCUUCCACAUCUGUUUAGAGUAUGUAAAGAAAAAUGAAAUCAGUCAGUUGGGAUUAGUCUGAUUUUCUGACCACAAAAUGCCUGCCACGUCAGCGAGUUUCCAUGUCAUCAAAAUGCCUGCCACGUCAGCGAAUUUCCACGUCUCCAAAAUGCCUGCCACGUCAGUGAUGAGUUGACUGCAGUUAACAUUUGCUUGAGUUAAGAGCAAGGGUAUUUUGGGAAUAAUUAAUCCCGUUUUUUUGAAAAACUGUCAUGUCGGACCAAGUAGGAUCAAUUUAUCACCAAUUUAUAAAAGUACGAUCAUUUUGUAACUGUAUUACAAAAAAGUAUGACCAUUUUGUAAAUGGCCCAUUAAUAAUCAGUGUUCCCCUCGUUAACUUCUGUCAGUCUAUGUCCCCAUGGAUCCCAUCAACUCUUCUUUUCUUUUUGUUGUUUGGGUAACGUGGACUACAUCGACUCCUUAGAUAUCUAGCUUAGGUACAGCAACUUUGAUUAUGUUAAGAAUUUUUGCAAG
Long non-coding RNA from Papaver somniferum (opium poppy), 1567 nucleotides. RefSeq lists it as uncharacterized. The transcript is spliced from 4 exons. The record is from RefSeq and is a predicted model, not a curated record. Lineage: Eukaryota; Viridiplantae; Streptophyta; Magnoliopsida; Ranunculales; Papaveraceae.